UGAGCGGCGGACGGGUUAGUAACGCGUGGGAAUAUACCCUUCACUACGGAAUAGCCUCGGGAAACUGAGAGUAAUACCGCAUACGCCCUUCGGGGGAAAGAUUUAUCGGUGAUGGAUUAGCCCGCGUUAGAUUAGAUAGUUGGUGGGGUAAUGGCCUACCAAGUCUACGAUCUAUAGCUGGUUUGAGAGGAUGAUCAGCAACACUGGGACUGAGACACGGCCCAGACUCCUACGGGAGGCAGCAGUGGGGAAUCUUAGACAAUGGGCGAAAGCCUGAUCUAGCCAUGCCGCGUGAGUGACGAAGGCCUUAGGGUCGUAAAGCUCUUUCGCCAGAGAUGAUAAUGACAAUAUCUGGUAAAGAAACCCCGGCUAACUCCGUGCCAGCAGCCGCGGUAAUACGGAGGGGGUUAGCGUUGUUCGGAAUUACUGGGCGUAAAGCGUACGUAGGCGGAUUGGAAAGUAGGGGGUGAAAUCCCAGGGCUCAACCCUGGAACUGCCUCCUAAACUAUCAGUCUAGAGUUCGAGAGAGGUGAGUGGAAUUCCAAGUGUAGAGGUGAAAUUCGUAGAUAUUUGGAGGAACACCAGUGGCGAAGGCGGCUCACUGGCUCGAUACUGACGCUGAGGUACGAAAGUGUGGGGAGCAAACAGGAUUAGAUACCCUGGUAGUCCACACCGUAAACGAUGAAUGCCAGACGUCGGGGGGCUUGCCCUUCGGUGUCACACCUAACGGAUUAAGCAUUCCGCCUGGGGAGUACGGUCGCAAGAUUAAAACUCAAAGGAAUUGACNG
This 788-nucleotide ribosomal RNA is filed under the name uncultured Paracoccaceae bacterium. RNAcentral's name for it is "bacterial SSU rRNA". It matches the Rfam family "Bacterial small subunit ribosomal RNA", at positions 92 to 916 of the family's 1533-position model. Lineage: Bacteria; Pseudomonadati; Pseudomonadota; Alphaproteobacteria; Rhodobacterales; Paracoccaceae. The record is from RNAcentral.